GACAUGUGGACAGUAUGGGAGUGAGAAUGUUGGCAUGAGUAGCGAGAUGUGGGUGAGAAUCCCACAGGCCGUAAACCCAAGGUUUCCAGGGGAAGGUUCGUCCGCCCUGGGUUAGUCGGGACCUAAGCUGAGGCCGAAAGGCGUAGGUGAUGGACAACAGGUUGAUAUUCCUGUACUACCGAUAACCGUUUGAGAGAAGGGAUGACACAGUAGGAUAAGCUAAGCACACUGUUGGUUAUGUGUGCCCAAGCAUUGAGGCAGUCAAAGUAGGCAAAUCCGCUUUGAUAAUGCUGGGAUGUGAUGGGGAGCGAAAUUUAGUAGCGAAGUAGCUGAUUUCACACUGUCAAGAAAAGUCUCUAUCGAGGUUAAAGGUACCCGUACCGCAAACCGACACAGGUGGGUGAGGAGAGUAUCCUAAGGCCAGCGAGAGAACUGUUGUUAAGGAACUCGGCAAAAUGACCCCGUAACUUAGGGAUAAGGGGUGCCACCAUCAGGUGGCCGCAGAGAAUAGGCCCAAGCGACUGUUUACCAAAAACAUAGGUUUCUGCUAAGUCGCAAGACGAUGUAUAGGAGCUGACGCCUGCCCGGUGCUGGAAGGUUAAGGGGAUCUGUUAGAGCAAUCGAAGCAGUGAACUUAAGCCCCAGUAAACGGCGGCCGUAACUAUAACGGUCCUAAGGUAGCGAAAUUCCUUGUCGGGUAAGUUCCGACCCGCACGAAAGGCGUAACGAUUUGGGCACUGUCUCAACAACAGACUCGGUGAAAUUGUAAUUCCGGUGAAGAUGCCGGAUACCUGCGACAGGACGGAAAGACCCCAUGGAGCUU
Molecule: ribosomal RNA, 823 nt
Filed under: Clostridioides difficile
Lineage: Bacteria; Bacillati; Bacillota; Clostridia; Peptostreptococcales; Peptostreptococcaceae
Description: partial 23S ribosomal RNA
Rfam family: Bacterial large subunit ribosomal RNA
Source: RNAcentral